UACAGAGGGUGCGAGCGUUGUUCGGAAUUAUUGGGCGUAAAGGGCGCGUAGGCGGCGCCACAAGUCACUUGUGAAAACUCUGGGCUCAACUCAGAGCCUGCAAGCGAAACUGUGGUGCUGGAGUAUGGGAGAGGUGCGUGGAAUUCCCGGUGUAGCGGUGAAAUGCGUAGAUAUCUGAAGGAACAUCAGUGGCGAAAGCGACUUCCUGGACGAAUACUGACGCUCAUGUACGAAAGCGUGGGGAGCAAACAGG
Molecule: ribosomal RNA, 253 nt
Filed under: uncultured bacterium
Lineage: Bacteria
Description: partial 16S ribosomal RNA
Rfam family: Bacterial small subunit ribosomal RNA
Source: RNAcentral